Molecule: non-coding RNA, 90 nt
Organism: Kwoniella shivajii
Lineage: Eukaryota; Fungi; Basidiomycota; Tremellomycetes; Tremellales; Cryptococcaceae
Source: the annotation of a RefSeq genome assembly
UUCUGGAUGAUGUAGCGGUUUAUCAUAUUUCCUUUACAGUGUUAACUGGCAUUUCGGAAAAGGUCGAGGGUUCGAUCCCCUCUCCGGAAA